GACGAACGCUGGCGGCGUGCUUAACACAUGCAAGUCGAGCGGUAAGGCCCUUCGGGGUACACGAGCGGCGAACGGGUGAGUAACACGUGGGUAAUCUGCCCUGCACUCUGGGAUAAGCCCGGGAAACUGGGUCUAAUACCGGAUAUGACUUCCAGCCGCAUGGCUGGGGGUGGAAAGUUCCGGCGGUGCAGGAUGAACCCGCGGCCUAUCAGCUUGUUGGUGGGGUAAUGGCCUACCAAGGCGACGACGGGUAGCCGGCCUGAGAGGGCGACCGGCC
Molecule: ribosomal RNA, 277 nt
Filed under: uncultured bacterium
Lineage: Bacteria
Description: partial 16S ribosomal RNA
Rfam family: Bacterial small subunit ribosomal RNA
Source: RNAcentral